RNAcentral lists this ribosomal RNA (478 nucleotides) under uncultured bacterium. Its description in RNAcentral is "partial 16S ribosomal RNA". It matches the Rfam family "Bacterial small subunit ribosomal RNA", at positions 28 to 523 of the family's 1533-position model. The record is from RNAcentral.
GACGAACGCUGGCGGCGUGCUUAACACAUGCAAGUCGAACGGUAAGGCCCUUCGGGGUACACGAGUGGCGAACGGGUGAGUAACACGUGGGUGAUCUGCCCUGCACUUCGGGAUAAGCCUGGGAAACUGGGUCUAAUACCGGAUAGGACUCCGGACUGCAUGGUCUGGGGUGGAAAGCCUUUGCGGUGUGGGAUGGGCCCGCGGCCUAUCAGCUUGUUGGUGGGGUGAUGGCCUACCAAGGCGACGACGGGUAGCCGGCCCGAGAGGGUGACCGGCCACACUGGGACUGAGAUACGGCCCAGACUCCUACGGGAGGCAGCAGUGGGGAAUAUUGCACAAUGGGCGCAAGCCUGAUGCAGCGACGCCGCGUGAGGGAUGACGGCCUUCGGGUUGUAAACCUCUUUCAGCAUCGACGAAGCGAAAGUGACGGUAGGUGCAGAAGAAGGACCGGCCAACUAGGUGCCAGCCGCCGCAGUAA